UACAGAGGGUGCAAGCGUUAAUCGGAAUUACUGGGCGUAAAGCGCGCGUAGGUGGUUUGUUAAGUUGGAUGUGAAAUCCCCGGGCUCAACCUGGGAACUGCAUCCAAAACUGGCAAGCUAGAGUAUGGUAGAGGGUGGUGGAAUUUCCUGUGUAGCGGUGAAAUGCGUAGAUAUAGGAAGGAACACCAGUGGCGAAGGCGACCACCUGGACUGACACUGACGCUCAGGCACGAAAGCGUGGGGAGCAAACAGG
This 253-nucleotide ribosomal RNA is filed under the name uncultured bacterium. RNAcentral's name for it is "partial 16S ribosomal RNA". It matches the Rfam family "Bacterial small subunit ribosomal RNA", at positions 524 to 776 of the family's 1533-position model. The record is from RNAcentral.